UGGGGAAUAUUGCACAAUGGGCGCAAGCCUGAUGCAGCCAUGCCGCGUGUGUGAAGAAGGCCUUCGGGUUGUAAAGCACUUUCAGCGGGGAGGACGGCGGUGAGGUUAAUAACCUCAUCGAUUGACGUUACCCGCAGAAGAAGCACCGGCUAACUCCGUGCCAGCAGCCGCGGUAAUACGGAGGGUGCAAGCGUUAAUCGGAAUUACUGGGCGUAAAGCGCACGCAGGCGGUCUGUCAAGUCGGAUGUGAAAUCCCCGGGCUCAACCUGGGAAAUGCAUUCGAAACUGGCAGGCUAGAGUCUUGUAGAGGGGGGUAGAAUUCCAGGUGUAGCGGUGAAAUGCGUAGAGAUCUGGAGGAAUACCGGUGGCGAAGGCGGCCCCCUGGACAAAGACUGACGCUCAGGUGCGAAAGCGUGGGGAGCAAACAGG
RNAcentral lists this ribosomal RNA (429 nucleotides) under Chloroflexota bacterium. RNAcentral's name for it is "Chloroflexi bacterium partial 16S ribosomal RNA". It matches the Rfam family "Bacterial small subunit ribosomal RNA", at positions 355 to 776 of the family's 1533-position model. Lineage: Bacteria; Bacillati; Chloroflexota. The record is from RNAcentral.